AUUGAACGCUGGCGGCAUGCCUUACACAUGCAAGUCGAACGGCAGCACGGGAGCAAUCCUGGUGGCGAGUGGCGAACGGGUGAGUAAUACAUCGGAACGUGCCCAGUAGUGGGGGGAUAACCCGGCGAAAGCCGGACUAAUACCGCAUACGACCUACGGGUGAAAGCAGGGGAUCGCAAGACCUUGCGCUAUUGGAGCGGCCGAUGUCAGAUUAGCUUGUUGGNGGGGUAAAAGCCUACCAAGGCAACGAUCUGUAGCUGGUCUGAGAGGACGACCAGCCACACUGGGACUGAGACACGGCCCAGACUCCUACGGGAGGCAGCAGUGGGGAAUUUUGGACAAUGGGCGCAAGCCUGAUCCAGCCAUGCCGCGUGCGGGAAGAA
Molecule: ribosomal RNA, 383 nt
Filed under: uncultured bacterium
Lineage: Bacteria
Description: bacterial SSU rRNA
Rfam family: Bacterial small subunit ribosomal RNA
Source: RNAcentral